Molecule: ribosomal RNA, 467 nt
Filed under: Malaxella tetracantha
Lineage: Eukaryota; Metazoa; Arthropoda; Insecta; Hemiptera; Delphacidae
Description: partial 16S ribosomal RNA
Rfam family: Bacterial large subunit ribosomal RNA (bases 341-467)
Source: RNAcentral
UUUAAAUGGCUGCAGUAAUUUAACUGUACAAAGGUAGCAUAAUAAUUAGUCUUUUAAUUGAGGUCUGGAAUGAAUGGUUUAACAAGAAAAUAACUUUAUUAGUUUUUAUGAAUUUGAAUUUAAUUUUUUAGUUAAAAAGCUAAAAUUUUUAAUUGGGACGAUAAGACCCUAUAGAUCUUAUUUUUUUUAAAAAAUUUUUUAUAUUAGACAUUUUUUAAAAAUGAGAAUAAAAAAAAUUCGUUGGGGUGAUGUCAAAAAUUUUAAAACUUUUGAAGAUUGUUUCAUUUAUUGAUGAUUAAUUGAUCUUUAAUUUAGGAUUAAUAGAUUAAGAUACCUUAGGGAUAACAGCGUAAUAAAUUUGGAUAGUUCAUAUUGAUAAAUUUGUUUACGACCUCGAUGUUGAAUUAAUUUAAAAUUUUGGAGUAGAAAUUAAAAGUUUGGGUCUGUUCGACCUUUAAUUAAUUACA